RNAcentral lists this ribosomal RNA (477 nucleotides) under uncultured bacterium. RNAcentral describes it as "bacterial SSU rRNA". It matches the Rfam family "Bacterial small subunit ribosomal RNA", at positions 80 to 543 of the family's 1533-position model. The record is from RNAcentral.
CUUCGGGUGAAGCUAGUGGCGGACGGGUGAGUAACACGUAGGCAACCUGCCUGCAAGAUCGGGAUAACUACCGGAAACGGUAGCUAAGACCGAAUAGCUGGUUCUGGCGCAUGCCGGGAUCAUGAAACACGGAGCAAUCUGUGACUUGCAGAUGGGCCUGCGGCGCAUUAGCUAGUUGGUGAGGUAAGAGCUCACCAAGGCGACGAUGCGUAGCCGACCUGAGAGGGUGAUCGGCCACACUGGGACUGAGACACGGCCCAGACUCCUACGGGAGGCAGCAGUAGGGAAUCUUCCGCAAUGGACGCAAGUCUGACGGAGCAACGCCGCGUGAGUGAUGAAGGUUCUCGGAUCGUAAAGCUCUGUUGCCAGGGAAGAACGCCUCGGAGAGUAACUGCUCGGAGGGUGACGGUACCUGAGAAGAAAGCCCCGGCUAACUACGUGCCAGCAGCCGCGGCAAUACGUAGGGGGCAAGCGUUG